GCACGUGUUUAAGCCAUCCGCUAACCCUACCGAUGCGGGCGGAUGGGCAGCACAACCGUGAGCCGCCGCCUCCAAUCAUGGCGGCUCUUCUCUCCGCCCUAGUCUUCGGAGGUGCCAUUGAUUCGGUUUUCCCCCCUUAAUCGUUCGUGUUAUUUUCGUUUCCCAGAAGGGGAUUUUAUUGUUUCUUGCUGCCAAGUGAUGCUGGGAAUAUUGCGCAAGGGCUUUGAGCAAUUCGUGGCUUUUGUUUGCCUGAUGCGAUGAGAUCACAACAUAUGUACUCUCCCUUCUGAUGGCAGCAGCCGUUCUUCGGCCCUGGAUCUGCACCCCUUUUGCCCUCUGCUUUUCUUUUCAGAAACGGUGGAAGAUUUUCUUGCGCUGUGGUUUUUUGUAAGGUGAUAUGCAAGAAAGCAGAUACCUUGCGCCGUUCACUUCUGUUUGGGCAUUUUUAGGAUUUGUGCACAUGCAUAAUUUCCCUUUUUCAUUGCCAGGUGAUGAUGGGAUAUUGCGCAAGGGCUAUGAGCAGUUCAUGGGCACUAGUGGCCCAACGCGGUGAUACUACAUGACAUCCCUUCUGAUGGCAAUUUGGUUCUGAAUCCAACUAAGUGACAUAAAUCAUACGAGUGCUAAACUCUCUUCACUGCUUGUUCAGAGCAGCAGAUCCGCCAGUAGCUUGGAUGACAGAUUGGAAUGUGUAGUGCGAGUAAGCUGAACCCAAGAAGUUCCUGAAGCUUUGGGCUAUUCAGUUUCUGGCCAUAAUCCUAUGACUUGGAGAAAUUCAGAAACUUACAGGCAAUCUUGAUACCACAGUUAACAUUCCUUUACUGUAACAUGACGGGCCAUCCAUUUCAUGGUCCAUGAAUUCUGAAAUUUGGCUCUACCAACUGAAAACCUUCCUGGCUUUGCCUUAGGUCCUA
Molecule: long non-coding RNA, 914 nt
Organism: Panicum hallii
Lineage: Eukaryota; Viridiplantae; Streptophyta; Magnoliopsida; Poales; Poaceae
Exons: 2
Source: RefSeq, a predicted model, not a curated record